AUUGAACGCUGGCGGCAGGCUUAACACAUGCAAGUCGAGCGGGGGAAGGUAGCUUGCUACCGGACCUAGCGGCGGACGGGUGAGUAAUGCUUAGGAAUCUGCCUAUUAGUGGGGGACAACAUCUCGAAAGGGAUGCUAAUACCGCAUACGUCCUACGGGAGAAAGCAGGGGAUCUUCGGACCUUGCGCUAAUAGAUGAGCCUAAGUCGGAUUAGCUAGGUGGUGGGGUAAAGGCCUACCAAGGCGACGAUCUGUGGCGGGUCUGAGGGGAUGAUCCGCCACACUGGGACUGAGACACGGCCCAGACUCCUACGGGAGGCAGCAGUGGGGAAUAUUGGACAAUGGGGGGAACCCUGAUCCAGCCAUGCCGCGUGUGUGAAGAAGGCCUUAUGGUUGUAAAGCACUUUAAGCGAGGAGGAGGCUACUCUAGUUAAUACCUAGGGAUAGUGGACGUUACUCGCAGAAUAAGCACCGGCUAACUCUGUGCCAGCAGCCGCCGUAA
Molecule: ribosomal RNA, 501 nt
Filed under: uncultured bacterium
Lineage: Bacteria
Description: partial 16S ribosomal RNA
Rfam family: Bacterial small subunit ribosomal RNA
Source: RNAcentral